CUCCGUGGUCAGCGGAAACUUGAUGGUGAGAGCGCCGCGGUCAGGCUGGCUUCUCCUGGGCGCCCUGCCAAGGAUGCUUGUGCUGCCUCUGGGCUCGCGGCGGCCUGGGCCUGGAAGAACCCACUGCUGUGCAUGUGUGGACAGCAGGCCUCAUCCCAGGGAACAGCCCGGCGGCCUGGGAGCCAGCAUUUCUGAGCGCCUUGUGAGCAGAGCAGCCAGGCAGGACCAGAGGUGCGCCGCCCACCUGAGGAAGCAGAGAAGGCAGAAUGGCCUUCACCUUCGCUACUUGGGACCCUUACUGUCUGUCCAGCAGAGUGGCCAGGAAUACACCAAUGGUGAUGAUUUUUCCAGCACUGACAAUCACUGAGGACAUCUGUACAUGCCACCGCUGGUACAGUCUCCUGAGGCUCUGCUUAGGCAAGGGAUGAAGGCCUCGCAAUGACCCAGCA
This 449-nucleotide long non-coding RNA is filed under the name Cebus imitator (Panamanian white-faced capuchin). RNAcentral describes it as "lncRNA (ENSCCAG00000038266.1)". Lineage: Eukaryota; Metazoa; Chordata; Mammalia; Primates; Cebidae. The record is from RNAcentral.